This 622-nucleotide ribosomal RNA is filed under the name Marasmius graminum. RNAcentral describes it as "eukaryotic LSU rRNA". It matches the Rfam family "Eukaryotic large subunit ribosomal RNA", at positions 48 to 654 of the family's 3401-position model. Lineage: Eukaryota; Fungi; Basidiomycota; Agaricomycetes; Agaricales; Marasmiaceae. The record is from RNAcentral.
AAGCGGAGGAAAAGAAACUAACAAGGAUUCCCCUAGUAACUGCGAGUGAAGAGGGAAAAGCUCAAAUUUAAAAUCUGGCAGUCUUUGAUUGUCCGAGUUGUAAUUUAGAGAAGUGUUACCCGCGCUGGACCGUGUAUAAGUCUCCUGGGAUGGAGCGUCAUAGAGGGUGAGAAUCCCGUCUUUGACACGGACUACCAGGGCAUUGUGGUGCGCUCUCGAAGAGUCGAGUUGUUUGGGAAUGCAGCUCUAAAUGGGUGGUAAAUUCCAUCUAAAGCUAAAUAUUGGCGAGAGACCGAUAGCGAACAAGUACCGUGAGGGAAAGAUGAAAAGAACUUUGGAAAGAGAGUUAAACAGUACGUGAAAUUGCUGAAAGGGAAACGCUUGAAGUCAGUCGCGUUGGCCAGGGAUCAGCCUUGCUUUUGUGAGGUGUACUUCCUGGUUGACGGGUCAGCAUCAGUUUCGACCACUGGAAAAAGGCUUGGGGAAUGUGGCACCCUCGGGUGUGUUAUAGCCUCUUGUUGUAUACAGUGGUUGGGACUGAGGAACUCAGCACGCCGCAAGGCCGGGAUUCGUCCACGUUCGUGCUUAGGAUGCUGGCAUAAUGGCUUUAAGCGACCCGUCU